Molecule: ribosomal RNA, 987 nt
Filed under: uncultured archaeon
Lineage: Archaea
Description: bacterial SSU rRNA
Rfam family: Archaeal small subunit ribosomal RNA
Source: RNAcentral
UCCGGUUGAUCCUGCCGGACCCGACUGCUAUCAGAGUGGGACUAAGCCAUGCGAGUUAACGCAGCAAUGCGUGGCAUACGGCUCAGUAACACGUAGUCAACAUGCCCAGGGGACGUGGAUAACCUCGGGAAACUGAGGAUAAACCGCGAUAGGCCAAGGUUUCUGGAAUGGAUCAUGGCUGAAACCUAUAUGGCCCCUGGAUUGGACUGCGGCCGAUCAGGCUGUUGGUGAGGUAAUGGCCCACCAAACCUGUAACCGGUACGGGCUCUGAGAGGAGGAGCCCGGAGAUGGGCACUGAGACAAGGGCCCAGGCCCUAUGGGGCGCAGCAGGCGCGAAACCUCUGCAAUAGGCGAAAGCUUGACAGGGUUACUCUGAGUGACGUCCGUUAAGGACGUCUUUUGGCACCUCUAAAAAUGGUGCAGAAUAAGGGGUGGGCAAGUCUGGUGUCAGCCGCCGCGGUAAUACCAGCACCCCGAGUGGUCGGGACGAUUAUUGGGCCUAAAGCAUCCGUAGCCGGUUCUGCAAGUCUUCCGUUAAAUCCACCUGCUCAACAGAUGGGCUGCGGAGGAUACUACAGGGCUAGGAGGCGGGAGAGGCAAGCGGUACUCAGUGGGUAGGGGUAAAAUCCUCUGAUCCACUGAAGACCACCAGUGGCGAAGGCGGCUUGCCAGAACGCGCUCGACGGUGAGGGAUGAAAGCUGGGGGAGCAAACCGGAUUAGAUACCCGGGUAGUCCCAGCUGUAAACGAUGCAGACUCGGUGAUGGGUUGGCUUUGAGCCAACCCAGUGCCGCAGGGAAGCCGUUAAGUCUGCCGCCUGGGGAGUACGGUCGCAAGACUGAAACUUAAAGGAAUUGGCGGGGAGCACCACAAGGGGUGAAGCCUGCGGUUCAAUUGGAGUCAACGCCGGAAAUCUUACCGGGGGCGACAGCAGAGUGAAGGUCAAGCUGAAGACUUUACCAGACAAGCUGAGAGGAGGUGCAUGGCC